This 389-nucleotide ribosomal RNA is filed under the name uncultured bacterium. RNAcentral describes it as "bacterial SSU rRNA". It matches the Rfam family "Bacterial small subunit ribosomal RNA", at positions 355 to 762 of the family's 1533-position model. The record is from RNAcentral.
UGGGGAAUAUUGCACAAUGGGGGAAACCCUGAUGCAGCGACGCCGCGUGGAGGAAGAAGGUCUUCGGAUUGUAAACUCCUGUUGUUGAGGAAGAUAAUGACGGUACUCAACAAGGAAGUGACGGCUAACUACGUGCCAGCAGCCGCGGUAAAACGUAGGUCACAAGCGUUGUCCGGAAUUACUGGGUGUAAAGGGAGCGCAGGCGGGAGAACAAGUUGGAAGUGAAAUCCAUGGGCUCAACCCAUGAACUGCUUUCAAAACUGUUUUCUUGAGUAGUGCAGAGGUAGGCGGAAUUCCCGGUGUAGCGGUGGAAUGCGUAGAUAUCGGGAGGAACACCAGUGGCGAAGGCGGCCUACUGGGCACCAACUGACGCUGAGGCUCGAAAGUGU